RNAcentral lists this microRNA precursor (94 nucleotides) under Canis lupus familiaris (dog). RNAcentral's name for it is "mir-8799 microRNA precursor family". It matches the Rfam family "mir-8799 microRNA precursor family". RNAcentral also lists the same sequence under 1 other name. The record is from Rfam by way of RNAcentral. Lineage: Eukaryota; Metazoa; Chordata; Mammalia; Carnivora; Canidae.
GGGGGAGCGCCAGAUCUUGGGGUGUGUCCCCCAGUGCCCUGGGCUCCGGGGCCUGUGCCGCUGGGAUCGUGCUCCCGGGACCGCGCAUUACCCU